This 440-nucleotide ribosomal RNA is filed under the name uncultured bacterium. Its description in RNAcentral is "partial 16S ribosomal RNA". It matches the Rfam family "Bacterial small subunit ribosomal RNA", at positions 338 to 795 of the family's 1533-position model. The record is from RNAcentral.
CCUACGGGAGGCAGCAGUGGGGGAUAUUGCACAAUGGGGGGAACCCUGAUGCAGCGACGCCGCGUGGGUGAAGAAGCGCCUCGGCGCGUAAAGCCCUGUCAGCAGGGAAGAAAAUGACGGUACCUGACGAAGAAGCCCCGGCUAACUACGUGCCAGCAGCCGCGGUAAUACGGAGGGGGCAAGCGUUAUCCGGAUUUACUGGGUGUAACGGGGGCGCAGACGGCGAGGCAAGCCAGACGUGAAAGCCCUGGGCCCAACCCCGGGACUGCUCUUGGAACUGGGUGGCUGGAGUGCAGGAGAGGCAGGCGGAAUUCCUGGUGUAGCGGUGAAAUGCGUAGAGAUCAGGAGGAACACCGGUGGCGAAGGCGGCCUGCUGGACUGCAACUGACGCUGAGGCCCGAAAGCGUGGGGAGCAAACAGGAUUAGAUACCCGGGUAGUC